GGAGGGGUUGCAGAGCGGCCAAAUGCAGCAGACUGUAAAUCUGCCUCCUAUGGAUACGGUGGUUCGAAUCCACCCCCCUCCACCA
This 85-nucleotide transfer RNA is filed under the name Thiotrichales bacterium. Its description in RNAcentral is "tRNA-Tyr". It matches the Rfam family "tRNA". From Rfam's summary of the family: Transfer RNA (tRNA) molecules are approximately 80 nucleotides in length. Their secondary structure includes four short double-helical elements and three loops (D, anti-codon, and T loops). Further hydrogen bonds mediate the characteristic L-shaped molecular structure. tRNAs have two regions of fundamental functional importance: the anti-codon, which is responsible for specific mRNA codon recognition, and the 3' end, to which the tRNAs corresponding amino acid is attached (by aminoacyl-tRNA synthetases). tRNAs cope with the degeneracy of the genetic code in two manners: having more than one tRNA (with a specific anti-codon) for a particular amino acid; and 'wobble' base-pairing, i.e. permitting non-standard base-pairing at the 3rd anti-codon position. Lineage: Bacteria; Pseudomonadati; Pseudomonadota; Gammaproteobacteria; Thiotrichales. The record is from RNAcentral.